This 253-nucleotide ribosomal RNA is filed under the name uncultured bacterium. RNAcentral describes it as "partial 16S ribosomal RNA". It matches the Rfam family "Bacterial small subunit ribosomal RNA", at positions 524 to 776 of the family's 1533-position model. The record is from RNAcentral.
UACAGAGGGGGCAAGCGUUGUUCGGAAUUACUGGGCGUAAAGGGCGCGUAGGCGGCUUGGGAAGUCCGUGGUGAAAGCCCGAGGCUCAACUUCGGGUCGGCCAUGGAUACUCCUAAGCUCGAGUCGACUAGAGGCUAAUGGAAUUCCGGGUGUAGCGGUGGAAUGCGUAGAGAUCCGGAAGAACACCGGUGGCGAAGGCGGUUAGCUGGGGUCGGACUGACGCUGAGGCGCGACAGCGUGGGGAGCAAACAGG